GCACCUUCGGUGUCCGAGUUGUAAUUUGAAGAAGGUAACCUUGGGGUUGGCUCUUGUCUAUGUUUCUUGGAACAGAACGUCACAGAGGGUGAGAAUCCCGUGCGAUGAGAUGCCCAAUUCUAUGUAAGGUGCUUUCGAAGAGUCGAGUUGUUUGGGAAUGCAGCUCUAAGUGGGUGGUAAAUUCCAUCUAAAGCUAAAUAUUGGCGAGAGACCGAUAGCGAACAAGUACAGUGAUGGAAAGAUGAAAAGAACUUUGAAAAGAGAGUGAAAAAGUACGUGAAAUUGUUGAAAGGGAAGGGUAUGAGAUCAGACUUGGUGUUUUGCAACCUUACUCUCGGGUGGGGCCCCUGCAGUUCAUCGGGCCAGCAUCAGUUUGGAUGGUAGGAUAAUGGCAUUGGAAUGUAGCUUGGCUUCGGUUAAGUGUUAUAGCCUUUGUUGAUACUGCCUGUCUAGACUGAGGACUGCGUCUUUGACUAGGAUGCUGGCAUAAU
RNAcentral lists this ribosomal RNA (491 nucleotides) under Suzukiozyma palmioleophila. RNAcentral's name for it is "[Candida] palmioleophila partial large subunit ribosomal RNA". It matches the Rfam family "Eukaryotic large subunit ribosomal RNA", at positions 125 to 635 of the family's 3401-position model. The record is from RNAcentral. Lineage: Eukaryota; Fungi; Ascomycota; Pichiomycetes; Serinales; Debaryomycetaceae.